Molecule: ribosomal RNA, 497 nt
Filed under: uncultured bacterium
Lineage: Bacteria
Description: partial 16S ribosomal RNA
Rfam family: Bacterial small subunit ribosomal RNA
Source: RNAcentral
GAUGAACGCUGGCGGCGUGCCUAAUACAUGCAAGUCGAGCGAACGGACGAGAAGCUUGCUUUUCUGAUGUUAGCGGCGGACGGGUGAGUAACACGUGGAUAACCUACCUAUAAGACUGGGAUAACUUCGGGAAACCGGAGCUAAUACCGGAUAAUAUUUUGAACCGCAUGGUUCAAAAGUGGAAGACGGUCUUGCUGUCACUUAUAGAUGGAUCCGCGCUGCAUUAGCUAGUUGGUAAGGUAACGGCUUACCAAGGCAACGAUGCAUAGCCGAGCGGAGAGGGUGAUCGGCCACCCGGGAACGGAGACACGGACCAGACUCCUACGGGAGGCAGCAGUCGGCAAUCGUCCGCAAUGGGCGAAAGCCUUGCGGAGCGAGGCCGCGUGAGUGACGAAGGUCUUCGGAGCGUAAAGCUCUGUUACUAGGGGUGAACAUAUGUGUAAGUAGAAGAGGACAUCGUGACGGUACCUAAUCAGGAAGCCACGGCUAACUACGUG